Lycium ferocissimum is the source of this 761-nucleotide long non-coding RNA. RefSeq lists it as uncharacterized. Lineage: Eukaryota; Viridiplantae; Streptophyta; Magnoliopsida; Solanales; Solanaceae. The transcript has 2 exons. The record is from RefSeq and is a predicted model, not a curated record.
ACAGUCUAUGAAUUUUUGUUAGCUGGGAACAUAUAUUAGAUGAAGAAUAGCAGCGAGUACUUAUAUAUCUAACUUCGCCACUGUAAUCUAUAGAAAUUAAGAGAAGCCCGGUACCAUGUUUCUCUUUAAAUAGGAAACGACGCCGUCAGUACAAAUACUUUGAGAAUUGGGAUGAAAUGGCCACAAAGAGCAUAUAAAGGUUAUGCAGAAUGAUAUAUUAAUGUUCUUGAAGUGGUCCUCUUUGAAACUUGUAUGACUAUCAUCUAAUUAAUGAAGUUUAGCAAAAUAAAUGCAUUGAGGUUUCAAUGAAAAUUCUACAAGCAUUUUAUAAGUUAAGAAAUGGAAAAUAAAUGACUUCUACUUUGCACGAUAGAGGAAGAUGCAAGAUAUAGAAAUAUGAGACACAAUUGUUGUUUCAGUUGCGUUUUUAAAAUAGAUUUUGGAUUCUUGGUUAAUGCAUCCCGAAGCUUUUCUAAUUAAUUUUUCUUAUACUCAUGCAGGCUUGAUGAUGUUGUUGGAUUACACCUAAUGAAUUUAGAUUGCUUUUGGGGUUUUGAAGAUUAAUGUUACAAGACAAGAUGCAAGUUUAGAAGAUGCACGACCUCAUUAUUAUUUUUCUAGGAAUGUUAUGUAGAACUCGGUAUCAUAGUCUAGAUCAGGUUGUUAGCAAUGUUUUUUUACUAAGGUGUCGAGCAAAUAUUGAAACUAACAUCAUGGGAUGUUAACCAUUUUAUUGUAAUUAAUAUAACUUUCGUCCUCUC